Molecule: ribosomal RNA, 502 nt
Filed under: uncultured bacterium
Lineage: Bacteria
Description: partial 16S ribosomal RNA
Rfam family: Bacterial small subunit ribosomal RNA
Source: RNAcentral
AUUGAACGCUGGCGGCAUGCCUUACACAUGCAAGUCGAACGGCAGCACGGGUGCUUGCACCUGGUGGCGAGUGGCGAACGGGUGAGUAAUAUAUCGGAACGUACCUUAUUGUGGGGGAUAACGCAGCGAAAGCUGUGCUAAUACCGCAUAAUCCCUAAGGGGGAAAGCGGGGGACCGUAAGGCCUCGCGCAAUUAGAGCGGCCGAUACCUGAUUAGCUAGUUGGUGAGGUAAAGGCUCACCAAGGCAACGAUCAGUAGCUGGUCUGAGAGGACGAUCAGCCACACUGGGACUGAGACACGGCCCAGACUCCUACGGGAGGCAGCAGUGGGGAAUUUUAGACAAUGGGUGCAACCCUGAUCCAGCAAUGCCGCGUGAGUGAAGAAGGCCUUCGGGUUGUAAAGCUCUUUUGUCAGGGAAGAAACAGCAGCUCUAACACAGUAUGCGAAUGACGGUACCUGAAGAAUAAGCACCGGCUAACCACGUGCCAGCCGCCCGCAGUAA